Molecule: long non-coding RNA, 254 nt
Filed under: Elaeis guineensis (African oil palm)
Lineage: Eukaryota; Viridiplantae; Streptophyta; Magnoliopsida; Arecales; Arecaceae
Description: long non-coding RNA (EGUI_LNC041053)
Source: RNAcentral
CUAUGAGGCAUGAGUGUGCCUGAGUUGUGUCAACUGUUAAUUUUGGACACUGGAUAAAAUCUGCUACAGAAAGAAGAUUUUUGUAAAUCCAAAUGUUUAAUAAAGUGAUAGAUAAGGGGGUCACUUACAAUAUAUUCUAACUUGCAACCUAUAAUUCUAAAUUGCAAUUUUAAGAUUUGAAAGAAAAAAAUUUCAACUUAAAAUUUUAGGUUAAAAUAGUAAAAUUACUAAUUCAUCCAUUAAAAGUUAAACCC